This 1459-nucleotide long non-coding RNA is filed under the name Amborella trichopoda. Its description in RNAcentral is "long non-coding RNA (ATRI_LNC002512)". The record is from RNAcentral. Lineage: Eukaryota; Viridiplantae; Streptophyta; Magnoliopsida; Amborellales; Amborellaceae.
AUCCCUUUUAUUUUGUUUUCCUUUACUUCAUUUUAUUUUCAUUUAUUCAUCUUAUUUUUAUUUCAUUCCAUCUUCUAGACUUAUUUUAUUUUAAUUCAUCUCUCUCAUUUUUAUUUCACCUCAUUUUCCAUCAUCCUUAUUUCAUCAUCACUUAUUUUCACUUUCGUUCUUUUUUGGAAGACCUAGCAAGAGCCAGGAUAGUCUUCAUCUCUCCUAUCUCUCUUCCUUGCUUGUUUGACUAGAGGGCAGGCUGAGUCUUGUAAUCGCGCUGGUCUCGUCAUCGAGCAAUAUUGUCGCCAUGCCUGUCUGAGUUACCGUACCCGUCUUGCUGCCACGUCAGACUAGUCGUUGCACCAGACUAGUCGUCAUGCCAGUCCUGUCAUCGAGCAGUAUUGCCGUUAUGCCGGUCUGAGUUGCCAUGUUCGUCUUGCUGCCACGUCAGACUAGCCAUUGUGCCAGGCUGGUUGAUGUUGAUUCUGUCAUCGAGUAGUAAAUCCGCUGCGCCGGUCUGAGUUGUCAUACGUGUCUUGCUACCAUGUCAAAUUAGUCAUCGUACUAGUCUAGCCACUGUGCCAGCCUAGCCGCCCGGUCAAACUUCUUCUCUCACCUUCAUUUCUCUUAUCUCUUUGCUUCUCUCACCCUUUACUACAUAUAUACCGAGAGUCCCUUGUCAAGAAGACACCGUGAGGCUGUCGAAGUGAUGUGGAUUCGCAUGUAUCAUUUUUCCAUUUCUUCCUUAGUACACAUACAUGUGUGUGCUCGCCCUAUAACAACGUAGGGACCUAUGUCCCACUUGUCUGUACUUUUAAUAUGUGUGUGUGUGUUUCCAGAAAAGGAGAAACAUGUCAAGGGAGGCGAUUCCAGACCGGCCACAGGCCAGGGGGGAUUCCAACAUGAUCUAAGAGGGCGCCCAUACGAGCCAAGCCCGAGCAUGUCAUGGACUCAUGUGAGGUAAGUCCUGUCUCAUGACCUUAAUUCCUCUCUCACCGGUUGGUACUCAUGCCCACGUCUUCUUUACGUGGUUCCCAAGAGAGUGAUCUCAGGUCCGGGGUCCAUCUCGAACAUGGAACCACGCCACCAGGUCAACCAGACCCGGAGGGUGAGAUCGAGGCACCUAACUAGAAAUGACUUACAAAAAGAAACAUUUUUAGCAAAAGUGAUUUUUGGAAACCAAAUAACUAACCCAUUUUUUUUUUGUUUUUUUCCCAUAGGUGAAUUUUUUUUUUCUUUUUUUUUUUCAUUUAAGGCAAAGAGGGUUUUUUUUCCUAUUUUCAUUUUUUUUUUUUUGAAGAUGCCAAAGACAUAAAAAAAAGUGAUUUUCCUGAAUUUUUUAAACUAAGAAAAGAAGGAAGAUAGAAUAAAUAAAAGCCAAACAAAUUUGUUUUUUUUUUUAAAUUGUCUCAACAUUUUUUUUUUUUAAUUCAAGUGCUAAAUUACAAGAGAAGAAAUUCAUUUGUUU